Molecule: long non-coding RNA, 1293 nt
Organism: Dermochelys coriacea (leatherback sea turtle)
Lineage: Eukaryota; Metazoa; Chordata; Testudines; Dermochelyidae
Exons: 3
Source: RefSeq, a predicted model, not a curated record
CUCUCUUGCUCCUUGCUAUGGCAUGGUCUGUUUCUGCAGGUUUAUUCUUGUAUCAUUUUUCCUACCCCUAUUCUUGUAUUUCUUUUUCAUGUUUUGCUUCUUUAUUUCUUUUUGUUCUGUUUUUUAAAAAAGGAAAUUAGAUUCUGAUUGUGUGGUUGUGGAAACCACGUUAUAGUGUUUCCUCUGCUUCCUACAUAUGUACUUAUUGAGACCAUUUAAUAAGAAAGAUCCAAAGUAUGACUGUAACCUGUACCCCUGCAUAUAGGUCAGUCAGCCCUCGGAACUGGUGGGAAUGGAUUUAAUAGGGCCACUACCAGCAACAAAGAAGGGAUACCAGUACAUACUCUCAGCCACGGAUUAUCUUACAAGAUGGGUGGAUGCAUUUCCACUUCGAACUAAGUCAGCCUAUGAGGUAGCAAAGAAAAUAUACAACAUUAUUAUUAAAUAUGGAUAUGUACAGAGGAUGCUGACAGAUCGCGAUCCUGAAUUCAAUAAUGACAGCAUUGCAGAAGUUAGUUGAUGACACUGGGAGUAACUGGGAUGAAUUUCUUGGUGACAUUUUAUUUCCUUUGCGACCUCAAGUGAACAUGACCACCAAAAUGUCCCCCUUUCGACUACUGUAUGACUUUGAAGCAAGAUUUCCAAUCCAAGUCUCAGAUGAUUAUACACCACCAAAUUUUGAGGAACUCGAUGAACAAUUCUACAAAGAGUACAGCAUAACUUGAAAUUGAGAAAGGAUGCUGACAUUGCACUGGCUCUUAGUAAUAUUACUAAAGCACAAGAAAAACAACAAAACCGGCAUGUCAAAAGAAAGAGUUCUAAAUAUGGGGAAAUAACAUUUGAAGUUGGGGACUGUGUUAUGUUACUGAAUACAAGAAGGAAAACAAAAAAGGGAGGACUGCAGCAACCUACCUAUCAUGGCCCAUACAAAGUUACUGCUGUUGUGGGUAAAAGAGUUAAACUGGAAACCACCUCGGGGAAACUGUUAGGGUCUAAGUACAGUAUCUCCCACUUAAAACCAUUUAAAGAGCCACCAACGUUAGGGGCUGAAAACAAAUCAGAGGAAAACACAGAAAUGGAAACUUCUGUGGAUGAGAUUGAAAAAACAGUGCCUCAGAAGAGAUUGGGCAAAUGGGUGGCAAUAUAUCUCGCGAGCCUCCUGAGAGCCGAGUGAUCAAGGUGGAGCUCACAGUCAUGGCAGAAGAACAGUGUGUAAUGGAAGAAGUUGCAUGCAGUGAUGUUGGUGAUAUGCUUGUGGAGGAUGGGGAAGACAGAGAAUGGCUGCUCAAAGGU